RNAcentral lists this transfer RNA (73 nucleotides) under Betta apollon. Its description in RNAcentral is "tRNA-Asn". The record is from RNAcentral. Lineage: Eukaryota; Metazoa; Chordata; Actinopteri; Anabantiformes; Osphronemidae.
UAGGUGAAUGUCCGCUGGUUGGGACACUUAGCUGUUAAUUAAGUUUUUGUAGGAUCGAGGCCUGCUCACCUAG